Molecule: RNA transcript, 1952 nt
Organism: Trichechus manatus latirostris (Florida manatee)
Lineage: Eukaryota; Metazoa; Chordata; Mammalia; Sirenia; Trichechidae
Gene: CFL2
Gene name: cofilin 2
Exons: 5
Source: RefSeq, a predicted model, not a curated record
GCCCUACGCCCCUCCUCCUUCUCCUCCUCCCCAGUGCCACAGAGUCGGAGCUUGAGCAGCCGACGCCUGAGCAGCCGCCGCAGCCACAGACGCGGGCACUAUGGCUUCUGGAGUUACAGUGAAUGAUGAAGUCAUCAAAGUUUUUAAUGAUAUGAAAGUAAGGAAAUCUUCUACACAAGAGGAGAUCAAAAAAAGAAAGAAAGCAGUCCUCUUCUGUUUAAGCGAUGACAAAAGACAAAUAAUUGUAGAGGAAGCAAAGCAGAUCUUGGUGGGUGACAUUGGUGAUACUGUAGAGGACCCCUACACAUCUUUUGUGAAGUUGCUACCUCUGAAUGAUUGCCGAUAUGCUUUGUACGAUGCCACAUACGAAACAAAAGAGUCUAAGAAAGAAGACCUAGUAUUUAUAUUCUGGGCUCCCGAAAGUGCACCUUUAAAAAGCAAGAUGAUUUAUGCUAGUUCUAAAGAUGCCAUUAAAAAGAAAUUUACAGGUAUUAAACAUGAGUGGCAAGUAAAUGGCUUGGAUGAUAUUAAGGACCGCUCGACACUUGGAGAGAAAUUGGGAGGCAAUGUAGUAGUUUCACUUGAAGGAAAACCCUUAUAAAAUGCCAGUCAAGUGCCAUCUGGAUCUUAAGGAGCUUCCAUUUCUCCACCUCAAAAGAGAACCCUGUUGUGGCUGUAGUCACAGAGGAACAGAUUUGGAUCUUGAAACAUUUGUACAUUGCACCUGGGUGUUUGCUACAUGACUUAGUGCUGUCUACCAUAAAUACUUGAAGCCACAAUUUUUUUCUGUAUUUCUUUUGCCACUACUUCUGUUCCAUUGGGAUUUGAUAAUAGGCACCUCUUGCAUAAUUUUUACUAUUCCCAAAUGAAUUAUUUUACAAAAUAAGUUUCCAAUAUGUUGGGACUCUACUUUCUCCCGGUGUGUUUGUAUGAUAAAGUUUAAUAGAUGCUAGUUCCUGGUGCACAGUGUAAAUAACCUAUCCACUUAUCUACUUUGCAUCCUGCUAAAAUAUUUAAGGUAUAAUGUAUAUAUUUUGCACUAAACCAGAAGCACUCAAUCUGUAUUUGAUGAAAAAGUGAUAAUCUACUAAUUGAGCUCAAAUUACGCAGAGCAAACAUUGGCUAAUAACCACCUAGAUACUUAGCUUUCAUUUAACCUAAUUUAGGAGAGAGUUUACAUUUUGCAUGCUAUUCAAAGAGGAUCUGGUAAUCCCUAUAAUUGAAAAAAAAAAGUAAGAUUUGUGUUUGCUGUGGAGAAACAUGAUCAUCGUGGACACCAUGAAUCAUUCUGAAAACAUCCCAUCUCUGUUUCCCAAUUACUCAGAUCAUUAGGGCAAUUUCAGUUCAGUUCAACAAACAGAAAGCACCCUUCUUGACCUCAAGAAGAUUCUUGUGAUAUAAGCAAGGCAAAUAUAUAAAUGAAUAAUUAGAGUGUGAUAAGUGCAAUAGUAUAUUACAAGGUUUUAAAGAGGAGGUGAUUAACUUUGAACUAAAGAUGGGCUUUAAGAAGGCCAUGUAGAGGAGGUAAUGUUUGAGCUGGGUUGUGAAGGAUGAUAGAAUUCACCAGAAAUCAGUAUGAAAGGAUGGUCCUAGAGAAAGGAGAGCUUGUGCAGAGGCCCUGCCAAUAGUUCAUUACAGUAGAUUAGUCAAGUGUGAAGCAAUGUGAUGGGAAAAGUGGGUAUGAGGCAGAUCAUUGAGGCAAUGGAUAUACUGAGGAGGUGGAGCAUGACAAGGAGCCAGUGCAGAGUUUUAAGCAGAGGGGUAACAUGAUCUUUCUAAAACACAAAUCUGAUCAUAUGACCAUAUGGAGAAUGUAUGGAACGGGGAAGAACUUGGAGGCAGUUAAAACCCAGAAGGCAGUUAACCCAUUGCCGUUGAGUUGAUUCCAACUCAUAGCAACCCUAAAGGACAGAGUAGAACUGCCCCAUGGGGUUUCCAAGGCUGUAUGUCUU